GGCCUAACACAUGCAAGUCGAGCGGUAGAGAAGGAGCUUGCUUCUUCUUGAGAGCGGCGGACGGGUGAGUAAUGCCUAGGAAUCUGCCUGGUAGUGGGGGACAACGUUUCGAAAGGAACGCUAAUACCGCAUACGUCCUACGGGAGAAAGUGGGGGAUCUUCGGACCUCACGCUAUCAGAUGAGCCUAGGUCGGAUUAGCUUGUAGGUGAGGUAAUGGCUCACCUAGGCAACGAUCCGUAACUGGUCUGAGAGGAUGAUCAGUCACACUGGAACUGAGACACGGUCCAGACUCCUACGGGAGGCAGCAG
Molecule: ribosomal RNA, 309 nt
Filed under: uncultured Vexilliferidae
Lineage: Eukaryota; Discosea; Flabellinia; Dactylopodida; Vexilliferidae
Description: partial Bacterial small subunit ribosomal RNA
Rfam family: Bacterial small subunit ribosomal RNA
Source: RNAcentral